This 170-nucleotide ribosomal RNA is filed under the name uncultured bacterium. RNAcentral describes it as "partial 16S rRNA". It matches the Rfam family "Bacterial small subunit ribosomal RNA", at positions 338 to 522 of the family's 1533-position model. The record is from RNAcentral.
CCUACGGGGGGCGGCAGUGGGGAAUAUUGCACAAUGGGCGCAAGCCUGAUGCAGCAACGCCGCGUGAGCGAAGAAGGUCUUCGGAUCGUAAAGCUCUGUCCUUAGGGAAGAAACAAAUGACGGUACCUGAGGAGGAAGCCCCGGCUAACUACGUGCCAGCAGCCCCGGUC